Nicotiana attenuata is the source of this 96-nucleotide microRNA precursor. It matches the Rfam family "MIR6152 microRNA precursor family". The record is from Rfam. NCBI's taxonomy places the organism in Eukaryota, Viridiplantae, Streptophyta, Magnoliopsida, Solanales, Solanaceae.
UGGACAAAUUAUUGUAUUCGACUGUAUUCACGGCGUGAAACAUGGGAUUACACUAUUUUUAAACGUGAAGUGAAUCAAUUAACAUAAUAGACCCCU